GACGAACGCUGGCGGCGUGCUUAACACAUGCAAGUCGAACGGAAAGGCCCUGCUUUUGUGGGGUGCUCGAGUGGCGAACGGGUGAGUAACACGUGAGUAACCUGCCCUUGACUUUGGGAUAACUUCAGGAAACUGGGGCUAAUACCGGAUAGGAGCUCCUGCUGCAUGGUGGGGGUUGGAAAGUUUCGGCGGUGGGGGAUGGACUCGCGGCUUAUCAGCUUGUUGGUGGGGUAGUGGCUUACCAAGGCUUUGACGGGUAGCCGGCCUGAGAGGGUGACCGGCCACAUUGGGACUGAGAUACGGCCCAGACUCCUACGGGAGGCAGCGGGGGGGAAUAUUGCACAAUGGGCGGAAGCCUGAUGCAGCAACGCCGCGUGCGGGAUGACGGCCUUCGGGUUGUAAACCGCUUUCGCCUGUGACGAAGCGUGAGUGACGGUAAUGGGUAAAGAAGCACCGGCUAACUACGUG
RNAcentral lists this ribosomal RNA (468 nucleotides) under uncultured bacterium. Its description in RNAcentral is "partial 16S ribosomal RNA". It matches the Rfam family "Bacterial small subunit ribosomal RNA", at positions 28 to 507 of the family's 1533-position model. The record is from RNAcentral.